AUAUAUAUAUAUCCAUAUAUAAUUAACUUUUUAAUUAAUUAAUAUAUAUUAAUUUAAUAUUUUGCUCAUUUUAUUAACCUCAGCCAAAUCCUUCAUUUUUCAAUGAACGGUUUAAAGUGGUACCAUAAAAUAUACGACGCACCUUAGUGAAACGGCUUUUUAUGGAAAUUAAGUACUUGUAAUUUGUCUAAAUAUUACCUGUUUUAAGCACAAUGCUCCAAUGUAAAGUGCCAUAUGGGACUAUAAAUAGUACGAAUUUCUAUCAAAACUAACCGUCCAGACAUAUCAACAGAUAACAGUGUGACCGGAGAUGAAGUCAUUCAGAGUAAAUUAUAGUUUAAAGAUUUAAUGAAACACAUUCUGUGAGCAUAAACAAUAUUGAAACGUUGUAAAAAUAAAUUCGGCACAAUAACAUCAUCAUCCGGGUUGAAUGCCUAAUGAUAGAGGAUAUCUUGUUGAUAUGAUGGAAUAUUUAGCCAUAUCAAAACAUUUCAGUUUUACAAAACUAAUCAAAUUUUUUAAUGUUGUUUCAG
This is a non-coding RNA of Cinara cedri, 533 nucleotides long. Lineage: Eukaryota; Metazoa; Arthropoda; Insecta; Hemiptera; Aphididae. The record is from the annotation of a GenBank genome assembly.